RNAcentral lists this long non-coding RNA (241 nucleotides) under Brachypodium distachyon (stiff brome). RNAcentral describes it as "long non-coding RNA (BDIS_LNC005823)". Lineage: Eukaryota; Viridiplantae; Streptophyta; Magnoliopsida; Poales; Poaceae. The record is from RNAcentral.
ACUCUCCUUCUCGUCUCCCCUCCUCACCUCACCUCCUCUCCCGAAACUCCCUCCCACGAAGCCAUGGCGUCCACCCCCAGAUCCGCGCGUUGCCCCACCGCGUGAACCCCAUCUCGGCCAGAUCCAGGGCGAGGUCGGCGGCGGACGGGCGAGGGGCGAGGCAGGCGGCGGGGAACACAGCAGAGCCGGCGAAGGGGAAGGCAGAGGAGGGGUCAGCGAAGGGGAAGGCAGAGGAGGGGGC